GCAGUCGAACGGCAGCACGGGCUUCGGCCUGGUGGCGAGUGGCGAACGGGUGAGUAAUGCAUCGGAACGUGCCCNUGUCGUGGGGGAUAACGUAGCGAAAGCUACGCUAAUACCGCAUACGCCCUGAGGGGGAAAGCGGGGGAUUCUUCGGAACCUCGCGCGAUUGGAGCGGCCGAUGUCGGAUUAGCUAGUAGGUGAGGUAAAGGCUCACCUAGGCGACGAUCCGUAGCGGGUCUGAGAGGAUGAUCCGCCACACUGGGACUGAGACACGGCCCAGACUCCUACGGGAGGCAGCAGUGGGGAAUUUUGGACAAUGGGGGCAACCCUGAUCCAGCCAUGCCGCGUGAGUGAAGAAGGCCUUCGGGUUGUAAAGCUCUUUCGGCCGGGAAGAAAUCGGCGACUCUAACAUAGUCGCUGGAUGACGGUACCGGACUAAGAAGCACCGGCUAACUACGUGC
Molecule: ribosomal RNA, 458 nt
Filed under: uncultured bacterium
Lineage: Bacteria
Description: bacterial SSU rRNA
Rfam family: Bacterial small subunit ribosomal RNA
Source: RNAcentral